GUGUCAGCAGCCGCGGUAAUACGGAGGGUGCAAGCGUUAUCCGGAUUCACUGGGUUUAAAGGGUGCGUAGGUGGGUCUGUAAGUCAGUGGUGAAAUCUCAGAGCUUAACUCUGAAACUGCCAUUGAUACUAUAGACCUUGAAUUUCCUGGAGGUUAGCGGAAUAUGUCAUGUAGCGGUGAAAUGCUUAGAUAUGACAUAGAACACCGAUUGCGAAGGCAGCUGACUAUAGGUAGAUUGACACUGAGGCACGAAAGCGUGGGGAUCAAACAGGAUUAGAUACCCUGGUAGUCC
RNAcentral lists this ribosomal RNA (292 nucleotides) under uncultured bacterium. Its description in RNAcentral is "partial 16S ribosomal RNA". It matches the Rfam family "Bacterial small subunit ribosomal RNA", at positions 505 to 796 of the family's 1533-position model. The record is from RNAcentral.